UGGGGAAUUUUGCACAAUGGGGGAAACCCUGAUGCAGCGACGCCGCGUGAUUUAGAAGGCCUUCGGGUUGUAAAAAUCUUUUCUAUGGGAAGAAAAUGACAGUACCAUAGGAAUAAGGACCGGCUAAUUACGUGCCAGCAGCCGCGGUAAUACGUAAGGUCCGAGCGUCGUCCGGAAUCAUUGGGCGUAAAGGGUACGUAGGCGGGUAAGCAAGUUAGAAGUGAAAUCCUAUAGCUCAACUAUAGUAAGCUUUUAAAACUGCUCAUCUUGAGGUAUGGAAGGGAAAGUGGAAUUCCUAGUGUAGCGGUGAAAUGCGCAGAUAUUAGGAGGAAUCCCGGUGGCGAAGGCGACUUUCUGGCCAUAACCUGACGCUGAGGUACGAAAGCGUGGGUAGCAAACAGG
RNAcentral lists this ribosomal RNA (402 nucleotides) under bacterium. RNAcentral describes it as "partial 16S ribosomal RNA". It matches the Rfam family "Bacterial small subunit ribosomal RNA", at positions 355 to 776 of the family's 1533-position model. The record is from RNAcentral.